This 562-nucleotide ribosomal RNA is filed under the name uncultured bacterium. RNAcentral describes it as "partial 16S ribosomal RNA". It matches the Rfam family "Bacterial small subunit ribosomal RNA", at positions 355 to 1376 of the family's 1533-position model. The record is from RNAcentral.
UGGGGAAUCUUGCACAAUGGGGGAAACCCUGAUGCAGCGACGCCGCGUGAGUGAUGAAGCCCUUCGGGGUGUAAAGCUCUUUCGGCAGGGACGAUAAUGACGGUACCUGCAGAAGAAGCUGCGGCUAACUACGUGCCAGCAGCCGCGGUAAUACGUAGGCAGCAAGCGUUGUUCGGAAUUACUGGGCGUAAAGAGUGCGUAGGCGGUUUGGCAAGUUUGGUGUGAAAUCUCCUGGCUUAACUGGGAGGGUGCGCCGAAAAACUGUCAGGCUAGAGUGUGGGAGAGGAAAGCGGAAUUCCUGGUNGUAGCGGUGAAAUGCGUAGAUAUCAGGAGGAACACCUGCGGUGUAGACGGCUUUCUGGACCACUACUGACGCUGAGGCACGAAAGCGUGGGGAGCAAACAGGAUUAGAUACCCUGGUAGUCCACGCCCUAAAACGAUGCGGACUUGGUGUUGGCCCUUCAUUGGGUCAGUGCCGCAGUUAACGCGGUAAGUCCGCCGCCUGGAGNNCGGUCGCAAGGCUGAAACUUAAAUGAAUUGACGGGGUCAUAGCUGUUUCCUG